RNAcentral lists this ribosomal RNA (422 nucleotides) under uncultured bacterium. Its description in RNAcentral is "bacterial SSU rRNA". It matches the Rfam family "Bacterial small subunit ribosomal RNA", at positions 355 to 774 of the family's 1533-position model. The record is from RNAcentral.
UAAGGAAUAUUGGACAAUGGUCGCAAGACUGAUCCAGCCAUGCCGCGUGCAGGAAGACGGCCCUAUGGAUUGUAAACUGCUUUUGUACCAGAGAAAACCUAUCUACGUGUAGAUAGCUGAUAGUAUGGUAAGAAUAAGCAUCGACUAACUUCGUGCCAGCAACCGCGAUAAGACGAAGGAUGCAAGCGUUAUCCGGAUUCAUUGGGUUUAAAAAAUGCGUAGGCGGGCUUGUAAGUCAAUAAUGAAAUCUCUCAGCUUAACUGAGAAACUGCCAUUGAUACUGCAGGCCUAGAGUAUAGAUGACAUUAGCGGAAUAUGACAUGUAGUGGUGAAAUACUUAGAUAUGUCAUAGAACACCGAUUGCAAAAGCAGCUAACGAAACUAUAACUGACGCUGAGGCACGAAAGUGCGGGGAUCAAACA